Molecule: unclassified non-coding RNA, 311 nt
Filed under: Rhizophlyctis rosea
Lineage: Eukaryota; Fungi; Chytridiomycota; Chytridiomycetes; Rhizophlyctidales; Rhizophlyctidaceae
Description: partial internal transcribed spacer region
Rfam family: Eukaryotic small subunit ribosomal RNA (bases 1-46)
Source: RNAcentral
AAGUCGUAACAAGGUAACCGUAGGUGAACCUGCGGUUGGAUCAUUAACAAAUAAUUUAGGCCCCUGGCUGCCUCAAAAGGGCGAAGGGGGGAAACCUAAACAUUUGUGUGCACCAUAUCUGUCCUUGGCAGUUCGAGAGUCCUGGGUCGCGUAACUGCCUCAGGUACCUACCGAGGCUUUCCUCUCGGGGUUUGCCAAAGUUGGGCUGCCGCUUCUAGAACAAACCUUUUGUAAAAUAUUUUUGCCUGAAUUUGUUUGAUCUUUAUGAUUGAAUUUAAAUACAACUUUUGACAACGGAUCUCUUGGCUCUC